UACGUAGGAUCCGAGCGUUGUCCGGAAUUACUGGGUGUAAAGGGCGUGUAGGUGGGUCUCUAAGUCGGGGGUGAAAUCCUGGAGCUUAACUCCAGAAUUGCUUUCGAAACUGGAGAUCUUGAGUACGGCAGAGGGAGAUGGAAUUCAUGGUGUAGCGGUGAAAUGUGUAGAUAUCAUGAAGAACACCGGUAGCGAAGGCGGUCUCCUGGUCCGUUACUGACACUGAGGCGCGAAAGCGUGGGGAGCAAACAGG
Molecule: ribosomal RNA, 253 nt
Filed under: uncultured bacterium
Lineage: Bacteria
Description: partial 16S ribosomal RNA
Rfam family: Bacterial small subunit ribosomal RNA
Source: RNAcentral